AACGAACGCUGGCGGCAUGCCUAACACAUGCAAGUCGAACGAGACCUUCGGGUCUAGUGGCGCACGGGUGCGUAACGCGUGGGAACCUGCCCUUAGGUUCGGAAUAACUCCCCGAAAGGGGUGCUAAUACCGGAUAAUGUCUUCGGACCAAAGAUUUAUCGCCUUUGGAUGGGCCCGCGUUGGAUUAGCUAGUUGGUAGGGUAAAAGCCUACCAAGGCGACGAUCCAUAGCUGGUCUGAGAGGAUGAUCAGCCACACUGGGACUGAGACACGGCCCAGACUCCUACGGAAGGCAGCAGUGGGGAAUAUUGGACGCUGGGCGAAAGCCUAAUCCAGCAAUGCCGCGUGAGUGAUGAAGGCCUUAGGGUUGUAAAGCUCUUUUACCCGGGAUGAUAAUGACAGUACCGGGAGAAUAAGCUCCGGCUAACUACGUG
Molecule: ribosomal RNA, 433 nt
Filed under: uncultured bacterium
Lineage: Bacteria
Description: partial 16S ribosomal RNA
Rfam family: Bacterial small subunit ribosomal RNA
Source: RNAcentral